UACGGGGGGGGUAAGCGUUGUUCGGAAUUACUGGGCGUAAAGGGCUCGUAGGUGGCCAACUAAGUCAGACGUGAAAUCCCCAGGCUUAACCUGGGAACUGCGUCUGAUACUGGAUGGCUUGAAUUCGGGAGAGGGAUGCAGAAUUCCAGGUGUAGCGGUGAAAUGCGUAGAUAUCUGGAGGAAUACCGGUGGCGAAGGCGGCAUCCUGGACCGAGAUUGACACUGAUGAGCGAAAGCUAGGGGAGCAAACGGG
Molecule: ribosomal RNA, 253 nt
Filed under: uncultured bacterium
Lineage: Bacteria
Description: partial 16S ribosomal RNA
Rfam family: Bacterial small subunit ribosomal RNA
Source: RNAcentral